AGCGGUUUCAAUGAAGUUUUCGGAUGGAUUUGAAAUUGACUUAGCGGCGGACGGGUGAGUAACGCGUGGGUAACCUGUCUUACACUGGGGGAUAACAGUUAGAAAUGACUGCUAAUACCGCAUAAGCGCACAGGGCCACAUGGUCUGGUGUGAAAAACUCCGGUGGUGUAAGAUGGACCCGCGUCUGAUUAGGUAGUUGGUGGGGUAACGGCCCACCAAGCCGACGAUCAGUAGCCGACCUGAGAGGGUGACCGGCCACAUUGGGACUGAGACACGGCCCAAACUCCUACGGGAGGCAGCAGUGGGGAAUAUUGGACAAUGGGCGAAAGCCUGAUCCAGCGACGCCGCGUGAGUGAAGAAGUAUUUCGGUAUGUAAAGCUCUAUCAGCAGGGAAGAAAAUGACGGUACCUGACUAAGAAGCCCCGGCUAACUACGUGCCAGCAGCCGCGGUAAUACGUAGGGGGCAAGCGUUAUCCGGAUUUACUGGGUGUAAAGGGAGCGUAGACGGUUAAGCAAGUCUGAAGUGAAAGCCCGGGGCUCAACCCCGGUACUGCUUUGGAAACUGUUUGACU
This 572-nucleotide ribosomal RNA is filed under the name uncultured bacterium. Its description in RNAcentral is "bacterial SSU rRNA". It matches the Rfam family "Bacterial small subunit ribosomal RNA", at positions 65 to 642 of the family's 1533-position model. The record is from RNAcentral.